Molecule: ribosomal RNA, 492 nt
Filed under: Phascolosoma agassizii
Lineage: Eukaryota; Metazoa; Annelida; Sipuncula; Phascolosomatiformes; Phascolosomatidae
Description: partial 16S ribosomal RNA
Rfam family: Bacterial large subunit ribosomal RNA
Source: RNAcentral
GUCUUCUAGACGAGCCUAUUAGAAGUCCGGCCUGCCCAGUGAUAAUUUCAACGGCCGCGGUAACCUGACCGUGCUAAGGUAGCGCAAUCACUUGCCCUUUAAUUGGGGGCUAGUAUGAAUGGCCAGACAAGGGCUUUACUGUCUCAAAAGACGUAACUGAAAAUUGACCUUUAGGUGCAGAGGCCUAAAUUCUAGUGAAAGACAAGAAGACCCUAUCGAGCUUUAAUUUUACUCAUUUCUCUAAAUGAAAUAAAUUUUUAUUGGGGCAAUAAAGGCGCAAACAAAGCCGCCUUUAAUAUUUACAUUAGUUAUAUAAAAUUAUAAGAGAAACAUUUUUAGUGCGCACAAGCAUAAGCUACCGUAGGGAUAACAGACUAAUUUUCCUCGAGAGUCCACAUUGACAGGAAAGUUUGGCACCUCGAUGUUGGCUUAAAAAACAGUUAUUGAAGCAGCACUCUAACCCCGUAGGUUUGUUCAACCUUUAAAAUUUUA